RNAcentral lists this ribosomal RNA (253 nucleotides) under uncultured bacterium. Its description in RNAcentral is "partial 16S ribosomal RNA". It matches the Rfam family "Bacterial small subunit ribosomal RNA", at positions 524 to 776 of the family's 1533-position model. The record is from RNAcentral.
UACGGAGGGUGCAAGCGUUAUCCGGAUUCACUGGGUUUAAAGGGUGCGUAGGCGGCGUGGUAAGUCGGGUGUGAAAUCUCGGAGCUUAACUCCGAAGCUGCAUUCGAUACUGCCGUGCUUGAGGACUGGAGGGGAGACUGGAAUUUACGGUGUAGCGGUGAAAUGCGUAGAUAUCGUAAGGAAGACCAGUGGCGAAGGCGGGUCUCUGGACAGUUCCUGACGCUGAGGCACGAAGGCCAGGGGAGCAAACGGG